Coffea eugenioides is the source of this 488-nucleotide long non-coding RNA. RefSeq lists it as uncharacterized. NCBI's taxonomy places the organism in Eukaryota, Viridiplantae, Streptophyta, Magnoliopsida, Gentianales, Rubiaceae. The transcript has 2 exons. The record is from RefSeq and is a predicted model, not a curated record.
GAAGUCAUCAGAACCGCAAUUCAUUUCCUUUCUUCUAGCUUCAUAGUCGGCCAGCUGCUGCAGAGAAACAACCAAAGACUCUCACCAUUUCUUUCUUCCAAAGCCAUGCAAAUCACUAUCAAACUUCCACCAAAUUCUCUCAAAAUUUAACUACAACUAGCUCAAUACUCGGACAACAACUUAGGCUGGAAAAGGGAGGAGUUUCACGGCUGUCUUCAGGCUUCAUAGGGACCGAAAUUUUCUGAUCUGAACAGCCAUCAAAGUAGGUUUGAACUCGGAGGUAAAAUGGAGAAGCCCUCUUGAUGUACUUUUGUUUAGGGCUUGUUAUUACUUUUGGUUAUGCCUUUGGUUUUGGAAUUGUACUUUUGGUAUGGAAAUGUAACCUUUGGACGAAAUGUAAUCUGUAUUCUGACGUGUGGUUUGGAGAAUGGAUGAUUAUUAUUAAGUUUGAAUACUUCCGCAUUUAUUGUAUUUAAGUUAUUGGCUUG